Molecule: unclassified non-coding RNA, 240 nt
Filed under: soil metagenome
Description: partial contains 5.8S ribosomal RNA, internal transcribed spacer 2, and large subunit ribosomal RNA
Source: RNAcentral
AACGGUCUAUACCUGCGGUACCUGCGGAAGGAUCAUUACCGAGUUAUCAACUCCCAAACCCCUGUGAACAUACCCGAACGUUGCCUCGGCGGGACCGCCCCGGCGCCCCUAGCGGCCCGGAACCAGGCGCCCGCCGGAGGACCCAAACUCUUGCUUUAAACAGUGGCAUACUCUCUGAGUCUCCCAAACAAAAAAUAAAUCAAAACUUUCAACAACGGAUCUCUAGAUCGGAAGAGCACA